RNAcentral lists this ribosomal RNA (406 nucleotides) under uncultured bacterium. RNAcentral's name for it is "partial 16S ribosomal RNA". It matches the Rfam family "Bacterial small subunit ribosomal RNA", at positions 30 to 526 of the family's 1533-position model. The record is from RNAcentral.
AUUGAACGCUGGCGGCAGGCCUAACACAUGCAAGUCGAGCGAGCGGCGGACGGGUGAGUAAUGUCUGGGAAACUGCCUGAUGGAGGGGGAUAACUACUGGAAACGGUAGCUAAUACCGCAUACCAUCAGAUGUGCCCAGAUGGGAUUAGCUAGUAGGUGGGGUAAUGGCUCACCUAGGCGACGAUCCCUAGCUGGUCUGAGAGGAUGACCAGCCACACUGGAACUGAGACACGGUCCAGACUCCUACGGGAGGCAGCAGUGGGGAAUAUUGCACAAUGGGCGCAAGCCUGAUGCAGCCAUGCCGCGUGUAUGAAGAAGGCCUUAGGGUUGUAAAGUACUUUCAGCGGGGAGGCGUUACCCGCAGAAGAAGCACCGGCUAACUCCGUGCCAGCAGCCGCGGUAAUUC